Populus euphratica (Euphrates poplar) is the source of this 279-nucleotide long non-coding RNA. RefSeq lists it as uncharacterized. The transcript has 3 exons. Lineage: Eukaryota; Viridiplantae; Streptophyta; Magnoliopsida; Malpighiales; Salicaceae. The record is from RefSeq and is a predicted model, not a curated record.
CCACUUUAUUAUUCCUUUUUAAGAAACACUUCCACACAGUUCCUCCUGUAAAAAAAAAGAUAGGCGAGGUGCUACUCUGCUGUUGAAUUUUCAUGGUAGUCAUCAUUGAUUGUUUCAGUUCAAACCUUCAUAGGGCAGCAUCACCCCAAGAUCAUUCGUUUGGAUUUGGGCAGGGCAAUACCGGGGACAAAGUUUAGUUUUAACUAAUUUUUAUGAGUAUUUCUUGAACCAUAAAGCUCAGGAUGUGACCUUUCAAUCUUCUAACGCUAAAGAAACAGG